This 108-nucleotide small RNA is filed under the name Priestia endophytica. RNAcentral describes it as "Bacillus endophyticus BsrF". It matches the Rfam family "BsrF". The record is from Rfam by way of RNAcentral. Lineage: Bacteria; Bacillati; Bacillota; Bacilli; Caryophanales; Bacillaceae.
GCGAUGAGCUAAUUGCAUAAGACGAAAAAUGAGCUUUUGCUCAACAUAUGAAUGUGGUCAUAUGGUUUUUCGCCGCAAUACGUCAGAGAGGCCGUUUAUACGGCCUCU